This 6155-nucleotide long non-coding RNA is filed under the name Triticum aestivum (bread wheat). Its description in RNAcentral is "long non-coding RNA (TAES_LNC008139)". The record is from RNAcentral. Lineage: Eukaryota; Viridiplantae; Streptophyta; Magnoliopsida; Poales; Poaceae.
GAUCAACUCCAAACCCAGCACAGGUAAAUUUCGAUUCAGUAGUGGAACCACUAAUUCAGACAUUCAGUAUUGUGUUGCAUAGCUGAAUAUAUCUUCAGAGUUCAGACUGUGAACACUUAUCUUCAGAGUUCAGAGUUCAGAGUUAAAGCUAAAUGGCCAAAACAGGCGCAGGGUUAGUCACAAUCAUAACAAUGGCUGGGUUUAGUUUUGUAUGCCACAAACCAAAGAACUAACUGUGCAUACAAGAUUACAAACAUCACCUUGGAAGAUCACCGAUCAGUUCGGACAUGUCGGUGGUCCGGUGUGUUCCCUUGUCGAACAAUACAACAACCGAAGAUGAUCCUCCAUUGUUAAUUACUAUGUGCAUAGCUGUUGUCUUCAGGACCAUUGGUUGUGUGCCAGCUGAAGUCUUCAUUUACCAAGUAUGCAUUUUAUUUCUAUCUACAAAAGUAAGCAUGAAUUCUGGCGGACGGUGCCCGCUAAAGUUUUUUUUCUUUCCAAAAUGCCAAUUGAAGUUAGUUUGAGCCAUCAGAACAUGUCACUUGGAGCAAAAUACUGACAGUCAAAGGCUGCUUAAUUGGACCAUACACAUCCAAAGCUCGUUCCUCACAGAAUUACUACAAUGGUAUAAGUGUUCUACUUCUACCAAAGAAACAAUGCCGUGUGUGGCGAUUUCUCCAGCAUGUCAAAUCAAAUGAUAGGAUUAUUGCUCUGUAACUGGCUAACUUAUUACGACAAUGUGCGGGUUAAAUAUUUAGUGUUGCAUAUCCCAAACAAAAGAAUUGAAUGUGCAUCAAAUACAAACAUCAUCUUGCAAGAUCUUCAACCAGCUCAGGCAUAUCGAUAGUCCCACGUGUUGUCUCGUUCAAAGGGACAAUCACUGAAGGUGAUGCUCCAUAACUACGUGCAAAGCAAUUAUGUUCACAAGCACUGGUGGCGUGCGAAUAGAGUCUCCUCAUCAUAUCUAGUCUCUCUGCAACUUCCUUCAUUGUUGGCCUGUCAUCUCCCCUCUGGCUAAGGCAGUGAACUGCGAGUUCACCCAUGUUCCCAAGGACCACCAUACCCGCGUCAUCUGUAAUUUCAGAGUCCAGCAUAACGUGGUGCGUCUUCCGAUGAAACAUCAAGGGAAAACUAUAUGACAGUGAGUGCUUUCCAUUAAAGUUGUCGGUAUAUAUAGCCCUCUUUCGUGUCAUUAGCUCGAGAAGAACAACUCCGAAACUGUAUACAUCGCUUUUCUCAGUGAGAAGAUGGCUGAUAAAGCUCUCAGUGUCAAGGUAUCCCAGUGUUCCAUGGACAAACAUGAUGAACUCACUUUCAUCCAUUGACUUAAGUGCUGAUGCUCCGAAAUCAGCAACCUUUGCAUUGAGCUUGUCAUCCAAGAGAAUGUUGGCAGACUUGACAUCACCAUGUAGGGUUGUGCGAGAUGUGGAUGAAUGUAAGUAAGCUAGAGCUUCUGCUGACUGUGUAGCAAUCUUCAGGCGAAUAGCAAGGGGAAUUGGCAAUCUACGAUCAGCACCGUGAAGGAACUGGGAUAGAGUACCAUGGGAGACAAACUCGUAGACCAACAUUGGGACAUCCACAUCCAGACAACAGCCUGGUAACCUCACAAUGUUUCGGUGAUUAUAAUCUCAUUGACAAAUUCUUCUCUCCAAUCAUCAUUGAUUGCUUUGGACUUCUUUAUGGCGACCUCUUUUUGAUCAUCCAAAGUUCCUCUGUAGACCACCACAUCCAAUAACUCGAUCUUCAUUGUAGUUGUCAGUGGCUCUCUUUAUCUCUUUCUCCGUAAGUAUGCGGAUUGUGUCAACCUGCUUUGACCUCAUCUCAUCGUAUAACUUGAGACCCCCAUUUUGUCUGAAAUACUCAUCUUUCUCCCUCUUGUGCCUUUUUAUUUGAGAUUGCAUGAGUAGCAAGCAUGCUAAGGUCAUCACCGAAGUUGCAGAAAUACUGAGCCCUGCAAAUGUAUAUUUUUCAGAAACUAACACUAAUAUAUUUCUAUAACAAAUUUUGAGCUCACUAUUCAUCUUUUGGUUGUAUAAGUAAUACUUUUUAUUGUUACAUGAAUGUUAGUUAUUACAAUGCAUAUGUUAAUGUAAAUAAAAGUAUGAAAAGGGAUUCACUGUUUGAAUAAAUGAUGCGUACCAAUGACCAAUUUUUGAUCUGAAGACAACAGAGAUCGGCAUCCAAAUUUUGUACCAUCAGGUCGUGUUCCUCUCUUGCAUAUGCAAGAGUAGUUCCCGGGUGUGUUGUUACAGACCCCUUGUCUGCAUGGAUACAAAUCUUCAUACUUGGGAUCCUGCUUACGCAAUGUGCACUCGUCUAUGUCUGAAGAUAACAUUGGAAACAUCUACUCAGAAGUGUAAAUCUGAAACAUGAAUUCACUAUGCUUUCACUGUUGCAUGUUGGCUAAAGAAAGAUUCAGGAAGUAAUGAAUCCAUGUUUUCAAUUCAAUAUGCAAUGCUGCAACUAUGCUUCACAUAACAUCUUCGAAAUUAAUAUUACACUGUGCAUUAACAACUUAUAUCAGAUUUUUUUUUGCUUGCCAGUUCUCUGUGAUGGUAUGGUGGAAAUCAAAGCUACAUGAGGUAAAAUCGCAACCCACAUAUUGGAAAGUCUUCAUAUAUAUGUUUUGUGAAAGUGUAUCUGGGUUUAACUAACACUGCAUAUUGUUUAUAGUUCCAUCUGUUUUCAGUGUAAUAUCCAUGGAAAUCUAGAGAACUUAAACUAAAGUAAAUACUUAACCUUGACAGCCAUUCAGAAGAUAAGGAUUUCCCUCAUAUCCUCCGGAGCAUUGGCAUAAGUAUCCUGGACCAUUGUUCGCGGCCAUGCAAUAGCUGUUUGUACUAAUGCAAGCAUAGUCAGUAGGUGUGUCUUUCCCCUUCUCCGGGCAUGAGCCAUUCCUAAUGGCCCAGUCGACAACAACGGCAGCACCUCUCUUAGCUCGACCAUCGAUGAACCCAAGAGUGUCGGCAAGGUCCUGCUGCCUGAAGGUGUACCACCCAACCUCAGCCACCAUGGCGUAGAAGCAUGGGUUGAAGCUCCAUACCCUGCUCUGUGUCACCUCAAAUUUGAUCUCCAAGGAGGUGAGGUUGGUGGGGAUGGCAACCUCACAACAGCCCAUCCCAUUGCAUGGCGCGCCCUCAGACGUGUUGUUGAUGCCCUCGCAAUUCGAGUAGCAACCAGUCACAUACUGGCCCGCGGUUUCUUUGUAGCCGGUGAUGAGCCCAAGGGUGUUGCAGCCAAUGACUGUGAAACGGUUGUGUGACGGUGACGGGAGGAAGGGCGUGUGCUUCAGAUCGUACCCUGUGGUGAACUUGGUGAAUGUGGUGUUCGACGUGAAGCAGAUGUGGUUGACGGGGCUGUAUAGGUGCAUCUCGCCAUUCUUCAGUGAGAUGUCGGCAAUCUCAGCUGCUACAUUCGGAUCACCAACAGUUGGCCUUGGUGGAUCGACCGUGCUGUCGCAGUCGAGGUUGAAGUAGCUGUUGAGGCUGAUUGCAGCACAGUGCGCGCCAAUCCCAAAGGGGUAUGGGAUGGAUACGUCGCCGCACUUGUCAGGGCAAGCUGGUGACGACAUGGAGUGUCCAGAAGAGGCUCGGGCAAGUGUUCCCACUGCUGGGCAGAAGAUACUUGCUAUGAAGAUUACCAUGACUGUCGAUGCUCCUGCCAUAGUUGGAUGCCAGUUAGCCAUGUUACAUGUAUGCAAACACCACAUUAGCUGGACAGGGUUAAAUCAAUAUGGAGUAGGUUUGUCACCAGAAAUAACUAAAUGGAAGUUCCUCUAGCCAUACCAUGACCGCCACAUCCAAUAACUCGAUUUUCCUUGUAGUUGUCAGUGUCUCUCUUUAUCUCUUUCUCUGUAAGUAUGCGGAUUGUGUCGACAUGCCUUGACCUCAUCUCAUCAUAUAACUUGAGACCUCCAUUUUGUUUGAAAUACUCAUCUUUCUCCCUCUUGUGCCUUUUUCGUUGAAAUUGCAUGAGCAGCAUGCGUGUGAAGGCCAUCACCGCAGUUGCAGAAACACAAGCACUGAGGCCUGCGAUAAUAUAUUUGUGAGGAACGGAUGCUUGUAAAUUUCUAUUAGAAUUUGGACUUUGCUAUUUUCCUUUUGGCUGCAACUUGUAAGCAGUGUUCAGAGCUAAUAUUUUUGUUUCUGUUACAUCAUUUUUGCUAUGGAAGCACACAUUUUGUAGAUGAAAGCAUGAACAUAGAUACACUGCUUAUAUAAACGAGGCUUACCAAUAACCAAUUUCCCACCAACCAUUGGGCGUGGUGAAUCGAUCGUGCCGUUGCAGAUGAGGUCGAAGAAGUAGGUGCUCUGGCUGCUCGCGGCGCAGUCUUCCCUAAUGCCGAAGGGAUAUGGGAUAGGCGCUUCUCCGCACUUGUCGGGGCAGCCUGGCAACGACAUGGAGCGGUCGGAUGAGGCUCCGGCCGCUGCUGCCAUUGCUGGGAAGGAGAUGCAUACUAUGAAAACUAGCAGGGCUGCUGAUGCUCCUGGCAUGACUGGAUGCCAACAACCCAGUUAAAUCAGUAUGUGGUAUAUAUGCUUGUCUCUAGAAAAGAAAAAGUUGCAAGUUGCCAUGUGAUUCAUCUGAGAGAGUCUCCAGCAGUGUCAGUCAACUAGCACAAGUGGUAUCACUAUACCAGAGCGUACGUUAACACGCAGAGAGACUUUGGCCGUGAUUGUGUGCUUACCUUUAUUUCGAGUUGCUGCUUUUGUCAAUGGUUUCACACCCCUCAUCUGAUCUUCUAUCGUUUCCAGGAAAUGAGAUGGUUUGGUGUCGGUGGUAACGUGAAGGAGGGUGAAUCAUUGUAGAUUGGCUUGGUUGAAGUCUACACAUUAAAAAAAACAAGGUGAGAACACCCCGGUUCCAACUUCGCAUUAGAAAAGAAGAAUUCUGUAGCAUACACAUACGCUCUUGUGUUGGAUGGUACUUUUAUUUUGGUCAGCUGGAUCAUAUCAACAUUCAUGUAUUGAGAAGCAUGAGAAAACCAGGAGUGAGUGGUGAGUUUUCUUGAUUCGCCAAUGUGCUGGCUUGCAUUCUCAGAGGCUGGUGACUAUUAGUCUGGUCAGCUGGAGCAUGAUAACACUCAUCACUAUGAGGAGAAUAAGGAGACCAGAGGCGAGAGGUGAGUUCCCUAGAUUGUUAAAAAAAAAUAGUGCUGUUGCGGCGGUGCAGCACGGAGCAGUGCUCACACCUCCACGGGCUGUGGCUUCUGGGGCCGGUCCUCGAGCUUCGGCCAAGAAAUCCAGUUAUGCACAUAGUAUGUAUAGUUCCUGAUGAUUGAUUACUAUUAAUUGGUUGGAAUGGCUAUUGCGUGGCCGAGGCAUUUGGGGAAGAUUAUUUUUGUUGGUGUGGGGCUUGCCAGGCGCUUGGCGUUGGGUUGCUCAUGUACUCUAUGUAGAUCGUUCCUGACAGUAGCAGUUUGCUGUUGUUUGCUAGUUGAUGAAUUAGGAGUUGCUUUUGUAGUAGCAGUUGUAGAUCUAACCUUGCUGGCCUUGUCGUGCCCGGCAAAACAACUAUGAAUGAAUGAAUGGAUGGAUGGUUUCAUGGUGCAUCAAGAUGUAACCAAUUGUUUUAACUCUUUUUUUCUCUGUGCCCCCUGUCUUCUCGUCGGAACAUCGUAAUAAACAGUACAUUGUAGGUCUUAUUCACUCAGUGUUACCAAAUGUGAGGUGAUCUUUUCAGGCUGUGGGAAAGAGCUGUUCAGUUAACUGAAUGCUAUCUAGAGCUGUUGCAGGUGUGAUGCAGAUGUUCAGUUCUUGCAGGUGGGAGGUGUUAUCUAGAGUUGUUGUGCUCUUGGCUGCUCGGUGAUGGGGCAUGGAGCAUGGGGUCGGGGCACCAGACCAGACCAGAUCUGGUUUGUUUAACUGAAUGCUGCGACGAUGCUACAGUCCCAGGAUCUCGCGAGGCCAGGAGCAAGCUGGUGAUGGAUGAACAUCAACAAGCUGACAUUGCCAUGUCCUGCUGGUGCUGGUUCAAGACCGAGGGAGGGAGCGGCGACAGCAGCACGCCGGUGGCUCGUUCUGGCAGCGGUAAUGGUCUUUUCGUGGCCUCGGAAUCUUGGUGUAAUUUCUGUUAUAUUUGAGGUGCUUUGUAUUUUCGAUGAACUUUGAUAAUAGAUCUAGAUUCUUCUUGAAAAAAAGGAAGUUUGAGGUCUA